Long non-coding RNA from Colossoma macropomum (tambaqui), 1156 nucleotides. RefSeq lists it as uncharacterized. The transcript is spliced from 2 exons. NCBI's taxonomy places the organism in Eukaryota, Metazoa, Chordata, Actinopteri, Characiformes, Serrasalmidae. The record is from RefSeq and is a predicted model, not a curated record.
GAAAGAAGGAGAACAGGAGAAAAGGGGAGUACAUAGGAGAAUGGAGAACAGAGGAUAAUAGAGAAGAACAGGAAAACAGAGGAGAAUGGAGGAGAACAGAGAAGACUAGAGGAGAACGGAGGAGAAUGGAGGAGAACAGAGGAGAACAGAGCGUCCUCACUCCUUUCCUGAAGGAAUCAGACGAACUCUGAGUCAGUUCAAUCAGCUGCUCUAAUGUGCAGUGACUCCAGAGAAGAACAGUAACCACAGGAACCAUCCUCCACACACUAAAGGCUUUGGCCAGACACGUUCCUCGGGUUCUUCAGGUUCUUCAAUCUUCAGAAACGUCCUGAGUGUCCCACUGGUCCUGACUGCCACGUUUACACUGUUGCUCCUGUCAUUGUAACCCCUGCCCCUAGGGGGUGCCCCAGUCUGAAGACUCAUUUGCCCCCAAUUUUGGAAGAUAGAGACUCUAUGCCACGUUUUCUAACAGCAAAGCUGGACAUGUGGGCUAUACUGGUGCUUUCUGUCUUCUGGACAAGGUCAGCCGAGAUGAAUCUGAGGUUAUGGAUGACCGUGUCAGACGCUAAUGGCCUGAAAAGGAGAAAAAAACCUUCUGCACUGGACAUUUUUCCACCGCUUACGUUAAAAUGAUCCAACAAAAUCUGCUUAUUCUACCUUCUGUUAAAUUAACACCUGUUCGCUCUUAUAGACAUUAACACCGACGAUGUACCGCAUAUUUAUACAGCGUAGAAUUUCCAUGGUAACGAACUGUAGAGCACUUCAGUCAGCGUUUUUUAAAGACGAAAGAGCAAAAUGCAAUAUUUUCAAGCUCAUAAUCUGCUUUAUGAAUCCUUCUUGGUACUAUGUACCUAGAUUUACAUAAUUAAACACUAUGUUCUAGAUGUUUUUAUCUGAGGUCCUUUAACAGACUGUAUGGGUUCUGUAUUUAUUCUGGGUUUAUAGUGGGAGGCAUUAAACUGAUGAUCGGCUGAUGUAUGUAUGUAUGUAUCUGGUCACACCUGUUAAAGGUGAUUUUCUACAGAUCGUUUUCUCCUCAGGUGAAAGAUUCUCCUCCAGAACUCCUGUAAUCCAAAAGUGCAACAAUGAUUAAACCACACUUUCCUUCAGUAAUGCACAUUUUAACGUAUCUCUAAUAAACAGACUGGUCCUCAAA